Molecule: non-coding RNA, 831 nt
Organism: Punica granatum (pomegranate)
Lineage: Eukaryota; Viridiplantae; Streptophyta; Magnoliopsida; Myrtales; Lythraceae
Source: RefSeq, a predicted model, not a curated record
GCUUUCAAGAAGACAGUUAAAAAAAAUUGAUACCCUUUAAAUUGUUUUCUCAUAUCGCCUACAUGUUCAUGCCCACCCCUCUCCAGCGUUAGGCCAAACGACAUUAUUCCCUACCCACCAUCAAAGGGUCAAACAUUCUACCUUUCUGUGAAUGCGCAUCUAACUUGAUGCUCGGUGUUGUUGAUUACGCUUGCGCACCCAAGCAUUGGUUAUUCCUGAACAUCCUGCUAAGAUCGCUUAUUGGUGCCGAUUGCGUUCACCCGAUCAAAUAUUUCAUAUUCAUCCACUCCCACUGAAUUUGCAAGCUAAGGUUGUUGAGUAUGUCUCAUAUUAGAACUCAAAGACCCGAAGACCGGAGCAGUAGCAAGAUCGGACGAAAAAAGAGAGGGGCGAGAUCUCAGAUUCCGCUGAGAUUAUAUUUCCUAUUUUAUAGGGAUUUCGUUAUAUUUCUUAAUUUUUAAAUAGGGAAAUUAUAUCUGGGGGAUGUUAGAUAUAUUUCUAUUAAUAUCUUCAGAAUAUUUCACGUGGGGAAUAUCCUAGGGUUAUAUUAGGAUAUCUUUGAGAUAUUAUGUAUUGUAUCUAUUUAAAGAGGAGAGGAUCUUGUAUCAAGAUAACACGUUGUGUGAGAAUCACGGGUAAUCUUCUUUGAAAUGAUCGGGUCUACUCCAUUGGAGUCUCUAGGGUUUCGUAGAUUGAAAGAGUGGUGAGAACUGAGAAGAUGGUGAGGCUCUUCUUGGGUUGGAUCUUCUAACAGGGGCUGAGAAACAUGAGUGUGAUCUCGUUGUUGUAAUUUUCGAUUUAUCUAUCUAGUGAAAUCUCUUACUUUGUCCA